AAGAUUGCGACCUCGAUGUUGGAUUAAAAUUUGAUUUUGGUGUAGAAGCUAAUAAUCUUA
This 60-nucleotide transfer RNA is filed under the name Anthaxia sp. ANT01. RNAcentral's name for it is "tRNA-Gln". Lineage: Eukaryota; Metazoa; Arthropoda; Insecta; Coleoptera; Buprestidae. The record is from RNAcentral.